RNAcentral lists this non-coding RNA (31 nucleotides) under Homo sapiens (human). Lineage: Eukaryota; Metazoa; Chordata; Mammalia; Primates; Hominidae. The record is from RNAcentral.
UGAGGGAGGUUUCACUGUGAGCCUGCACCAU